Molecule: non-coding RNA, 28 nt
Filed under: Homo sapiens (human)
Lineage: Eukaryota; Metazoa; Chordata; Mammalia; Primates; Hominidae
Source: RNAcentral
UGAGAACACAUGGACACAGGAAGGGGAA